GCCAGUGUGGUGUAGUGGUUUGAAUGUUGGACUACGACUCUGGAGACCAGGGUUCAAUUCCCAGAUUGAGCC
This 72-nucleotide transfer RNA is filed under the name Phrynosoma platyrhinos (Desert horned lizard). RNAcentral's name for it is "tRNA-OTHER". The record is from RNAcentral. Lineage: Eukaryota; Metazoa; Chordata; Lepidosauria; Squamata; Phrynosomatidae.